AUUUAAACGGGAUUGAAGUGAUAUACUUUUUUGUUUCACAGGUUCUUACAACCUCGAGAUGCAUGUUACAAAAAAGAUUUAACGUAAAGCCCGGCUAACA
This 100-nucleotide small RNA is filed under the name Pedobacter sp. Leaf194. RNAcentral describes it as "Flavo-1 RNA". It matches the Rfam family "Flavo-1 RNA". The record is from Rfam by way of RNAcentral. Lineage: Bacteria; Pseudomonadati; Bacteroidota; Sphingobacteriia; Sphingobacteriales; Sphingobacteriaceae.